AUGAACGCUAGCGGCAGGCCUAAUACAUGCAAGUCGAACGGUAACAUGAGUAGCAAUACUUGAUGACGAGUGGCGCACGGGUGCGUAACGCGUAUGCAAUCUACCUUUAACUGGAAGAUAGCCCCUCGAAAGAGGGAUUAAUACUCCAUAAUAUUAUGAGUUGGCAUCAAUUUAUAAUUAAACCUCCGGGGGUUAAAGAUGAGCAUGCGUGACAUUAGCUAGUUGGUGAGGUAAUGGCUCACCAAGGCUACGAUGUCUAGGGGAUCUGAGAGGAUUAACCCCCACACUGGUACUGAGACACGGACCAGACUCCUACGGGAGGCAGCAGUAAGGAAUAUUGGACAAUGGUGGCAACACUGAUCCAGCCAUGCCGCGUGAAGGAUGAAGGCCCUAUGGGUUGUAAACUUCUUUUGUACGGGAAAAAACCUAUCUACGUGUAGAUAGCUGAUGGUACCGUAAGAAUAAGGAUCGGCUAACUCCGU
This 482-nucleotide ribosomal RNA is filed under the name uncultured bacterium. RNAcentral describes it as "bacterial SSU rRNA". It matches the Rfam family "Bacterial small subunit ribosomal RNA", at positions 29 to 506 of the family's 1533-position model. The record is from RNAcentral.